RNAcentral lists this ribosomal RNA (510 nucleotides) under uncultured bacterium. Its description in RNAcentral is "partial 16S ribosomal RNA". It matches the Rfam family "Bacterial small subunit ribosomal RNA", at positions 28 to 507 of the family's 1533-position model. The record is from RNAcentral.
GACGAACGCUGGCGGUGUGCUUAACACAUGCAAGUCGAACGAAGAGCGAUGGAAGCUUGCUUCUAUCAAUCUUAGUGGCGAACGGGUGAGUAACGCGUAAUCAACCUGCCCUUCAGAGGGGGACAACAGUUGGAAACGACUGCUAAUACCGCAUACGAUCUAAUCUCGGCAUCGAGGAUAGAUGAAAGGUGGCCUCUACAUGUAAGCUAUCACUGAAGGAGGGGAUUGCGUCUGAUUAGCUAGUUGGAGGGGUAACGGCCCACCAAGGCGAUGAUCAGUAGCCGGUCUGAGAGGAUGAACAGCCACAUUGGGACUGAGACACGGCCCAGACUCCUACGGGAGGCAGCAGUGGGGAAUCUUCCGCAAUGGACGAAAGUCUGACGGAGCAACGCCGCGUGAGUGAUGACGGCCUUCGGGUUGUAAAGCUCUGUUAAUCGGGACGAAAGGCCUUCUUGCGAAUAGGGAGAAGGAUUGACGGUACCGGAAUAGAAAGCCACGGCUAACUACGUG